GAAACUUAAAGGAAUUGGCGGGGGAGCACCACAAGGGGUGAAGUCUGCGGUUUAAUUGGAUUCAACGCCGGAAAUCUCACUGGAAGCGACGGCAGUAUGAUGGCCAAGCUGAUGACUUUGCUUGACGAGCCGAGAGGAGGUGCAUGGCCGUCGUCAGCUCGUACCGUAAGGCGUCCUGUUAAGUCAGGCAACGAGCGAGACCCGUACCUUUAUUUGUCAGUUAGUCCCCACGGGGACUGAGACCCAUUAAAGGAACCGCUGCUGAUAAAGCAGAGGAAGGAGCGAGCAACGAUAGGUCAGUAUGCCCCGAAUCUUCCAGGCUACACGCGGACUGCAAUGGCUGGUACAAUGGGUCCCAACUCCGAAAGGAGAAGGAAAUCCCGAAAGCCAGUCUUAGUUCGGAUUGUGGGCUGUAACUUGCCCACAUGAAGCCGGAAUCCCUAGUAAUCGCGUGUCAUUAUCGCGCGGUGAAUACGUCCCUGCUCCUUGCACACACCGCCCGUCACACCGCCCGAGUGAGGUUUAGAUGAGGCAAUAGCCACAGGUUAUUGCCGAGUCUGGGUUUUACAAGGGGGGUGAAGUCGUAACAA
Molecule: ribosomal RNA, 590 nt
Filed under: uncultured crenarchaeote
Lineage: Archaea; Thermoproteati; Thermoproteota
Description: bacterial SSU rRNA
Rfam family: Archaeal small subunit ribosomal RNA
Source: RNAcentral